RNAcentral lists this ribosomal RNA (460 nucleotides) under uncultured bacterium. Its description in RNAcentral is "partial 16S ribosomal RNA". It matches the Rfam family "Bacterial small subunit ribosomal RNA", at positions 338 to 795 of the family's 1533-position model. The record is from RNAcentral.
CCUACGGGAGGCAGCAGUGAGGAAUAUUGGUCAAUGGACGAGAGUCUUAACCAGCCAAGUAGCGUGAAGGAUGACUGCCCUAUGGGUUGUAAACUUCUUUUAUAUGGGAAUAAAAUGUUCCACGUGUGGGAUUUUGUAUGUACCAUAUGAAUACGGAUCGGCUAACUCCGUUCCAGCAGCCGCGGUAAUACGGAGGAUCCGAGCGUUAUCCGGAGUUAUUGGGUUUAAAGGGAGCGUAGGUGGAUGGUUAAGUCAGGUGUGAAAGUUUGCGGCUCAACCGUAAAAUUGCAGUUGAAACUGGCAGUCGUGAGUACAGUAGAGGUGGGCGGAAUUCGUGGUGUAGCGGUGAAAUGCUUAGAUAUCACGAAGAACUCCGAUUGCGAAGGCAGCUCACUGGACUGCAACUGACACUGAGGCUCGAAAGUGUGGGUAUCAAACAGGAUUAGAUACACGAGUAGUC